RNAcentral lists this long non-coding RNA (224 nucleotides) under Lathyrus oleraceus (garden pea). RNAcentral's name for it is "Pisum sativum (pea) long non-coding RNA (PSAT_LNC024027)". Lineage: Eukaryota; Viridiplantae; Streptophyta; Magnoliopsida; Fabales; Fabaceae. The record is from RNAcentral.
AACCAUGAAAAUGUGAUCCCGUGGUGUUUCUAUAUCAACAGCUCCCCCUUAAACUAUGCUCCCCCUUAAUUGAAGAAUUAAGGAGUCUUUGAAUUCUGCAUUUUCGUUAGAGAAACACAACCAGCAAGAAAAUAUCAUAGAAAUCAUAAUUUCUCUUCUUCUCCCCCUUUGUCAUUAACAAAAAGGGUGACACAAGAGAUAAGACAGCCAAGCAAGCAUUCAUA